This 358-nucleotide ribosomal RNA is filed under the name uncultured bacterium. Its description in RNAcentral is "partial 16S ribosomal RNA". It matches the Rfam family "Bacterial small subunit ribosomal RNA", at positions 338 to 693 of the family's 1533-position model. The record is from RNAcentral.
CCUACGGGAGGCUGCAGUGAGGAAUAUUGGUCAAUGGGCGGGAGCCUGAACCAGCCAAGUCGCGUGAGGGAAGACGGUCCUAUGGAUUGUAAACCUCUUUUGUCGGGGAGCAAUGCCGGGCACGCGUGCCCGGAGGGAGAGUACCCGCAGAAUAAGCAUCGGCUAACUCCGUGCCAGCAGCCGCGGUAAUACGGAGGAUGCGAGCUUUAUCCGGAUUUAUUGGGUUUAAAGGGUGCGCAGGCGGAAGAUCAAGUCAGCGGUAAAAUUGAGAGGCUCAACCUCUUCGAGCCGUUGAAACUGGUUUGCUUGAGUGAGCGAGAAGUAUGCGGAAUGCGUGGUGUAGCGGUGAAAUGCAUAG